CCCGGGGGGCGGUUCAUGCCCCGGGGGGGACAGCGGGGCGGGAUCGGCACACGGCGAGUGAGGUGGUCGGGUUCGGGCGGGUGCGGUCGGCGGCGGGGGCGCCCGGGGGGCUAUAGCGCACGGCCUCGGGGGCCGCAAAGAAGGGGCCGUAACUCAUGAUCGGGGCCCCCGAUUCCGUUUCCGUUUCGUACCACGGGACCAGCGGUCCGGAGGCAUCGGGAUGGGGGGGUAGCCGCGUGGCAGUUUGAACGGCGAAAAAUGGGCAAGAUCGGGGGCCGCUUAGUAGGCUUUGCCGGUUUCGGCCGUAACUCAUGAUCCGGGCCUCCGAUUCCGUUUCCGUUUGGUCCCACGGGACCAGCGGUCCAGGGGCAUCCGGAU
This 378-nucleotide long non-coding RNA is filed under the name Citrus x clementina. Its description in RNAcentral is "Citrus clementina (C. clementina) long non-coding RNA (CCLE_LNC005042)". The record is from RNAcentral. Lineage: Eukaryota; Viridiplantae; Streptophyta; Magnoliopsida; Sapindales; Rutaceae.